This 158-nucleotide ribosomal RNA is filed under the name uncultured bacterium. Its description in RNAcentral is "partial 16S ribosomal RNA". It matches the Rfam family "Bacterial small subunit ribosomal RNA", at positions 355 to 509 of the family's 1533-position model. The record is from RNAcentral.
UGAGGAAUAUUGGUCAAUGGGCGGAAGCCUGAACCAGCCAAGUCGCGUGAGGGAAUAAGGCCCUACGGGUCGUAAACCUCUUUUGCCGGGGAGCAAGGGCGGGGACGUGUCCCGGCCCGGAGAGUACCCGGAGAAAAAGCAUCGGCUAACUCCGUGCC